RNAcentral lists this ribosomal RNA (253 nucleotides) under uncultured bacterium. Its description in RNAcentral is "partial 16S ribosomal RNA". It matches the Rfam family "Bacterial small subunit ribosomal RNA", at positions 524 to 776 of the family's 1533-position model. The record is from RNAcentral.
UACGUAGGAUGCAAGCGUUGUCCGGAAUUAUUGGGCGUAAAGCGAACGUAGGCGGUUUUUUAAGCCAGAUGUGAAAUCCCCGGGCUCAACCUGGGAACUGCAUUUGGGACUGGAAGGCUAGAGUAUGGCAGAGGGGGGUGGAAUUCCACGUGUAGCAGUGAAAUGCGUAGAGAUGUGGAGGAACACCGAUGGCGAAGGCAGCCCCCUGGGCCUGUACUGACGCUCAUGCACGAAAGCGUGGGGAGCAAACAGG